CUGAAAACUUCCGGAAAGCGAACGUGGGGGGAAAUAGGGUUGCCAAACCAUCUAGGAUUGGUUUAGAGUCCCCAGGAAUCAGUAUUAAUCGACAGGAGACUACAGUAUUUAAAGCAAUCCUGAGUUGCUUCAUGUGAAGAAUGCGGGGUGGGGUGAAUAGGAAUAGCUUGAGUCAAAGUUGGAAACUUUACUACUUUACUGAUGUUUAAUUACAUCAAUAAUCAUGUAAUCAUUGUGAAGGGUAAUUUUAGCCCGCUUUCUUUAAAAUGAAAGAUUAGCCUGUAUUAAGUAAUAGAGUCCUUUUAUUCUCGAGAAUGAGCUGGGAGAAAUCACAGGCUCUGUGUCCUAGUAGCACAGAGGUCUCUGAUCCCUCGCCCCACAGACUCUCUUCCUGAGGCUGAGUACGAAGAUUCCUAUAACUUUGCAAGCUGCAUAACUGACAGCAGCGUAGCAGAUGGCUGAGAUGAACUACAAGCCUGCUUACUACAUGAACAAAAAUGCAACAGGAGGUAAAGCAGCUUGAAAACCUUUCCCUUCCCCCAGCACCAACAUGAAAUGGGACUGAACUGAUAGCUAGGAUUAAUAUUUUAUAACCCAAGAAAAUAAGUACUCUCUGCAGGCUUCUGUUAGGUCCUAAUGCUGACCACAUGUUUCAUUCAGGAUGUUUUCCUGACCAUAGUUAACCUAUUUCCAAGAGGUACAGUAUCUAUUUGCUGUCUAUAUGUACUAGUUGCUAAUAUGUACUGAAUUUGUAUGUAAUGAUGGAGCAUAUCAUCUAAAAAUAACUACUUGACUUCUAAAUACCAGUGUUUAAUUUCUAGAUCUAAUACUGAAACAACUUUUGUAGCAAAUAUUGAGUUCUGAAUAAUAUAGUAGGCUUGUUCCCACAUUAACCAUAAACUGGGUAGGAGACAAAUAUCCUGCCCAGCUUUGGGAACUAUGCACGCUCCUAAUUUUUUUUAUCAUGUGCAGGUAGAUAAGAGGAGGGGGAAUGAUCAUGUGAGAGCCUCUUGCUAGGAAGGAUAAUGCCAUCCUACCCAGCACCUGCACGUAGCUGUUUACUGAGGUAGGAGGAAAAGCUGGCCUACCCAGUAUGAGGCUUCCACACAGUCACUCCCCCCUCCACCUACCUAGGUUUUUACUCGCACAUGAUAAAAAAUCAGAAGCUCUCACAGCUCCCAAAUCUGGGCAGCGCACUUGUCCUACCCGGUUUUUGAUAAUGUGAACUGCCUUAGUAUUUGGUAUUGGGUUUGUAUGACACUCAAAACAUGCACAGAUUUCUGUCACAUAAAUGUAAAACUGUUUUAUAGUUGUUAGGGAGAAAGUACAGUUUGGAAUUAAUCAUUUCAAUGUAAUGGUGUCACCUGAAUCAUGUCAUCACCUAUUAUUUAUCUUAACUAUAAUUUAGUUCCAGACCAGUAUAUUGGCAACCAGCAGGGUCCUGUUGGCUAUACUAGUAGUAGUACUCUGGCUGACCUCUGUUUCGCCUUCAUUAACUAACGUCCUCUGUAGCCUCAUCAACCGAUUACCGCUGCUUCUUCAAAGUGAUGUCAGCUUACAUUUGUGUCCUGGAACAAUGUUUGCCUCUGACUGUGCUAACUACCUCAA
Hemicordylus capensis (graceful crag lizard) is the source of this 1608-nucleotide long non-coding RNA. RefSeq lists it as uncharacterized. The transcript has 2 exons. Lineage: Eukaryota; Metazoa; Chordata; Lepidosauria; Squamata; Cordylidae. The record is from RefSeq and is a predicted model, not a curated record.